Molecule: ribosomal RNA, 539 nt
Filed under: uncultured bacterium
Lineage: Bacteria
Description: bacterial SSU rRNA
Rfam family: Bacterial small subunit ribosomal RNA
Source: RNAcentral
UUACAUGCCGGUUUCAUGCAAGUCGAGCGAAUGGAUUANAUAGCGGGCGGGUGAGUAACACGUGGGCAACCUACCUUAUAGUUUGGGAUAACUCCGGGAAACCGGGGCUAAUACCGAAUAAUCUAUUUUACUUCAUGGUGAAAUACUGAAAGACGGUUUCGGCUGUCGCUAUAAGAUGGGCCCUGCGGCGCAUUAGCUAGUUGGUGAGGUAACGGCUCACCAAUGGCGACGAUGCUGUAGCCGACCUGAGAGUGGUGAUCUGGCCACACUGGGACUGAGACACUGUGCCCAGACUCCUACGGGAGGCAGCAGUAGGGAAUCUUCCGCAAUGGACGAAAGUCUGACGGAGCAACGCCGCGUGAGUGAUGAAGGCUUUCGGGUCGUAAAACUCUGUUGUUAGGGAAGAACAAGUGCUAGUUUGAAUAAGCUGGCACCUUGACCGGUACCUAACCAGAAAGCCACGGNGUAAACUACGUGCCAGCCAGCCGCGGGAUACCGUAAAAGGGUNNGGGCCAAAGGCCGGUUAAAUCCCGGGGNAA